Molecule: ribosomal RNA, 406 nt
Filed under: uncultured bacterium
Lineage: Bacteria
Description: partial 16S ribosomal RNA
Rfam family: Bacterial small subunit ribosomal RNA
Source: RNAcentral
AUUGAACGCUGGCGGCAGGCUUAACACAUGCAAGUCGAACGAGUGGCGGACGGGUGAGUAAUGCCUGGGAAUCUGCCUUAUGGAGGGGGAUAACUACUGGAAACGGUAGCUAAUACCGCGUACCAUCGGAUGUGCCCAUGUGGGAUUAGCUUGUUGGUGAGGUAAAGGCUCACCAAGCCGACGAUCCCUAGCUGGUCUGAGAGGAUGACCAGCCACACUGGAACUGAGACACGGUCCAGACUCCUACGGGAGGCAGCAGUGGGGAAGAGUGAGCAAUGGGAGCAAGCCUGACGCAGCCAUGCCGCGUGAAUGAAGAAGGCCUUCGGGUUGUAAAGUACUUUCAGUGGGGAGGCGUUAACCGCAGAAGAAGCACCGGCUAACUCCGUGCCAGCAGCCGCGGUAAUUC